Molecule: ribosomal RNA, 497 nt
Filed under: uncultured bacterium
Lineage: Bacteria
Description: partial 16S ribosomal RNA
Rfam family: Bacterial small subunit ribosomal RNA
Source: RNAcentral
GACGAACGCUGGCGGCGUGCCUAAUACAUGCAAGUUGAGCGCUGAAGGUUGGUACUUGUACCCACUGGAUGAGCAGCGAACGGGUGAGUAACGCGUGGGGAAUCUGCCUUUGAGCGGGGGACAACAUUUGGAAACGAAUGCUAAUACCGCAUAAAAACUUUAAACACAAGAUUUAAGUUUGAAAGAUGCAAUUGCAUCACUCAAAGAUGAUCCCGCGUUGUUUUAGCUAGUUGGUGAGGUAAAGGCUCCACAAGGCGAAGAUACAUAGCCGACCUGAGAGGGUGAUCGGCCACACUGGGACUGAGACACGGCCCAAACUCCUACGGGAGGCAGCAGUAGGGAAUCUUCGGCAAUGGACGAAAGUCUGACCGAGCAACGCCGCGUGAGUGAAGAAGGUUUUCGGAUCGUAAAACUCUGUUGGUAGAGAAGAACGUUGGUGAGAGUGGAAAGCUCAUCAAGUGACGGUAACUACCCAGAAAGGGACGGCUAACUACGUG